This 703-nucleotide ribosomal RNA is filed under the name Sphingobacterium sp. Muzt-H6. Its description in RNAcentral is "bacterial SSU rRNA". It matches the Rfam family "Bacterial small subunit ribosomal RNA", at positions 47 to 744 of the family's 1533-position model. Lineage: Bacteria; Pseudomonadati; Bacteroidota; Sphingobacteriia; Sphingobacteriales; Sphingobacteriaceae. The record is from RNAcentral.
CUUAACACAUGCAAGUCGAGCGGGGAAAAGUAGCUUGCUACCUGACCUAGCGGCGGACGGGUGAGUAAUGCUUAGGAAUCUGCCUAUUAGUGGGGGACAACAUCUCGAAAGGGAUGCUAAUACCGCAUACGUCCUACGGGAGAAAGCAGGGGACCUUCGGGCCUUGCGCUAAUAGAUGAGCCUAAGUCGGAUUAGCUAGUUGGUGGGGUAAAGGCCUACCAAGGCGACGAUCUGUAGCGGGUCUGAGAGGAUGAUCCGCCACACUGGGACUGAGACACGGCCCAGACUCCUACGGGAGGCAGCAGUGGGGAAUAUUGGACAAUGGGGGGAACCCUGAUCCAGCCAUGCCGCGUGUGUGAAGAAGGCCUUUUGGUUGUAAAGCACUUUAAGCGAGGAGGAGGCUACCGAGAUUAAUACUCUUGGAUAGUGGACGUUACUCGCAGAAUAAGCACCGGCUAACUCUGUGCCAGCAGCCGCGGUAAUACAGAGGGUGCAAGCGUUAAUCGGAUUUACUGGGCGUAAAGCGCGCGUAGGUGGCCAAUUAAGUCAAAUGUGAAAUCCCCGAGCUUAACUUGGGAAUUGCAUUCGAUACUGGUUGGCUAGAGUAUGGGAGAGGAUGGUAGAAUUCCAGGUGUACGGUGAAAUGCGUAAAGAUCUGGAGGAAUACCGAUGGCGAAGGCAGCCAUCUUGGCCUAAUACUGGA